UUCACGGGCUCUUCCAUAGUAGCCUGAGGGAAGUACCACUCCUUUUUAGUAUCUCCUCCGACAGCUUCAGCCCAGCCAAUCAGCCUUCAUCCUCUAGGACCCCGAAGACCUCCCCUGUCCAAGCAGUAAGACACAGGCCACUUUAGAGACCACGUGAGUGGGUGCUGCAUGCAGAAGCUCUGUUUUUUCCUCCUCUAAAGCUUGUUUGCCUAUCCUGAGGUAGAACUCUCAGGGCCUUCUCCAGCACCAUGUCUGCCUGUAUACGGCCGUGCUUCUUGCCAUGAGGAUAAUGGACUAAACCUCU
This is a long non-coding RNA of Mesocricetus auratus (golden hamster), 304 nucleotides long. RefSeq lists it as uncharacterized. Lineage: Eukaryota; Metazoa; Chordata; Mammalia; Rodentia; Cricetidae. The record is from RefSeq and is a predicted model, not a curated record. The transcript is spliced from 3 exons.